AGAGUUUGAUCCUGGCUCAGGACGAACGUUGGCGGCGCGCUUAAUGCAUGCAAGUCGAACGAGAAACCAUCCUUCGGGAUGGUGGAAAGUGGCGAACGGCUGAGUAACGCGUGAGGGACCUGCCCUGGAGUGGGGAAUAACCCCGAGAAAUCGGGACUAAUACCGCAUACGCUCUUCCAUUCAGAAGUGGAAGGGGAAAGAUUUAUCGCUCUUGGAGGGCCUCGUGUUCUAUCAGGUAGUUGGUGGGGUAAUGGCCUACCAAGCCUUAGACGGAUAGCUGGUGUGAGAGCACGACCAGCCAGAGGGGGACUGAGACACGGCCCCCACUCCUACGGGGGGCAGCAGCAGGGAAUCUUGCACAAUGGGCGAAAGCCUGAUGCAGCGACGCCGCGUGAGGGAUGAAGGCUCUAGGGUCGUAAACCUCUUUUCUCAGGGAAGAGCAAGGACGGUACCUGAGGAAUAAGCCACGGCUAACUACGUGCCAGCAGCCGCGGUAAUACGUAGGUGGCAAACGUUGUCCGGAAUUACUGGGCGUAAAGGGCCCGUAGGCGGACCAACAAGUCGUUUGUGAAAUCUCCCGGCUCAACCGGGAGUGGUCGAGCGAAACUGUUGGACUUGAGGAUGUCAGAGGAAGACGGAAUUCCCCGGUGUAGUGGUGAAAUGCGUAGAUAUCGGGAGGAACACCAGUGGCGAAAGCGGUCUUCUGGGGCAUUUCUGACGCUGAGGGGCGAAAGCGUGGGGAGCAAACCGGAUUAGAUACCCGGGUAGUCCACGCCCUAAACGAUGGAUGCUAGGUCUUGGGGGUAUCGACCCCCUCUGGGCCAAAGCUAACGCGUUAAGCAUCCCGCCUGGGGACUACGGCCGCAAGGCUAAAACUCAAAGGAAUUGACGGGACCCCGCACAAGCAGCGGAGCGUGUGGUUUAAUUCGAUGCUAAGCGAAGAACCUUACCAGGGCUUGACAUGCAUGUAGUACCGAUCCGAAAGGUGAGGGACCCGUAAGGGAGCUUGCACAGGUGUUGCAUGGCUGUCGUCAGCUCGUGCCGUGAGGUGUUGGGUUAAGUCCCGCAACGAGCGCAACCCUCAUGAUCAGUUGCUUUUUCUGAUCAGACUGCCCGCAAGGGAGGAAGGUGGGGACGACGUCAAGUCAUCAUGACUCUUACGUCCUGGGCUACACACACGCUACAAUGGCCGGUACAGACGGUUGCGAAGCCGCGAGGCGAAGCUAAUCUGACAAAGCCGGCCCCAGUUGGAAUUGCAGGCUGCAACUCGCCUGCAUGAACGUGGAGUUGCUAGUAACCGCAGGUCAGCACACUGCGGUGAAUACGUUCCCGGGGUUUGUACACACCGCCCGUCACGUCACGGAAGUCGGAAGCGCUUGAAGUCGCUGGGCUAACCUCUUCGGAGGGGGCAGGCGCCGAGGGUGAAGCCGAUGACUGGGACGAAGUCGUAACAAGGUAACC
Molecule: ribosomal RNA, 1461 nt
Filed under: uncultured bacterium
Lineage: Bacteria
Description: bacterial SSU rRNA
Rfam family: Bacterial small subunit ribosomal RNA
Source: RNAcentral